AUGCCCAGCUUGCUGGGUGGAUUAGUGGCGAACGGGUGAGUAACACGUGAGUAACCUGCCCCUGACUCUGGGAUAAGCGUUGGAAACGACGUCUAAUACUGGAUAUGAUCACUGGCCGCAUGGUCUGGUGGUGGAAAGAUUUUUUGGUUGGGGAUGGACUCGCGGCCUAUCAGCUUGUUGGUGAGGUAAUGGCUCACCAAGGCGACGACGGGUAGCCGGCCUGAGAGGGUGACCGGCCACACUGGGACUGAGACACGGCCCAGACUCCUACGGGAGGCAGCAGUGGGGAAUAUUGCACAAUGGGCGAAAGCCUGAUGCAGCAACGCCGCGUGAGGGAUGACGGCCUUCGGGUUGUAAACCUCUUUUAGUAGGGAAGAAGCGAAAGUGACGGUACCUGCAGAAAAAGCACCGGCUAACUACGUGCCAGCAGCCGCGGUAAUACGUAGGGUGCAAGCGUUGUCCGGAAUUAUUGGGCGUAAAGAGCUCGUAGGCGGUUUGUCGCGUCUGCUGUGAAAUCCCGAGGCUCAACCUCGGGCUUGCAGUGGGUACGGGCAGACUAGAGUGCGGUAGGGGAGAUUGGAAUUCCUGGUGUAGCGGUGGAAUGCGCAGAUAUCAGGAGGAACACCGAUG
Molecule: ribosomal RNA, 630 nt
Filed under: Curtobacterium sp. 177(2013)
Lineage: Bacteria; Bacillati; Actinomycetota; Actinomycetes; Micrococcales; Microbacteriaceae
Description: bacterial SSU rRNA
Rfam family: Bacterial small subunit ribosomal RNA
Source: RNAcentral